UUAACUGCUUUCUCCCUCAGUUUCUUCAAUUGUAAAAUGGGUAUGAUAAUAGCACCUACUUCUCAGAGUCAUGAGACUCAAAGGAGAUUGCUUAUAUAAAUGCUAGCUAUAAGGAAAUCCCACUGUAGAGUUAUGUUAUAGUACCAUUUGGUUGAUUGCUUAUUUGUUAUAUAUUCCUGGAAAUGUUGUUUCCUCUAAUAUUUUGUUUUCAUGGAAGAACAUAAUGACAUUAGCUGGACUGUGACUGUAAAUAGAGUGGGGCAUUUCCUCACUUCUGAAUUGCUUUUGGAAAAGUGGCAGGAAGUGUUAGGGAGAAGUGUUUAUUAAGACCACUAACCACAAGGAAUACUAACAAUAUUUACACAGUGCUUUAUAGUUUCCAGCACACUUUUACAUAUCUUAGCUCAUAGUAGUCCCACUUUGGGGCUGAAAAGAAGAUUUGGAUGGUUCAGUGACAGCAGAAAAGCAGUGGGGAAGCUAACAGAUUUAUGUGGAGAGAAUUCUGAGAAAUCCCCGCCACCUCUCCCCAAGCAAAGAGACAAUGGAUGACUAAAUACCUGGGAUCUGCUUGACCUUCCUCCUGAAGGAAAGUGCUGCUGAAUGCUUCUAGAGUCCCUGAGUAUUCAAAUGAUCUGACGGGAGCUGGAGUGCCAGAUAACAGAUGUGAGGAAUGCAGACACCAAUGUCCCCUUCACUGUUUCUCAACAUGAACUCGCACAGUGAUGAAGUCAUUCCCGAUGAGCUACUUGGCUCCAUGGAUUAGGACUGGAUGCUGAGAUCUGGGGAGAGGAGCAGACAGAGGGCAUAGAAUGGGGAGAUUAUUUUCUCCAAGGAGGAUGGAGUCAGGUUCAUUUUCUGUAGUCAGAGGAUUCACAGGGUACAGAUGCCAGCUAACAAUGCCUCCGGCAAUGCGAUUCUCCUCAUAGCUACACUUUCAUGAACUCUGAGACUUUCCAUGUUCCCUGUAGCUGAAUGGUCCUACAAGUGUUGUCUUCUUCAAUUAAAGCAUGAUCUCCUUGACAGCAGGGGUUGUCUUCUUUGUUCAUCUGUAUCGCCAGCAUUUAACAUAGUGCUUGGCACCUAGUAAGCACCAGGUAAUUGUUUUGUCAUUCAUUCAUUCAUUUAUUCAUUCAAUGCAAGGCCAACAGUGUGUGACAACUGCUCUGAGAAAUUUCAGCCUAAGAGCUGCAAGAAGUGCCAGGGAAAGAAGCACAAUUUACAAAUGAAGGCUUCACGGAGGAGGUGGCAUUUGGGCUCCACCUUGAAAGAUGACAAAGAUAGAAAUAAGGGAUGCUGGGGGUAGGGUGGGGGUAUACAGUGAGCAUUUAAGUGAGUAGAGGAAGAUUGACAAAGCAAGGGUGGGAGAGCUGAUUUCUCUCCUCUCCCUGUCCCACUCUCCAUGGAGUUCAAUCCAUGGCUGGCACACUGGCAAACACUACCUAGCUUAUGCCAUUUGAAUAAAUCCCAGAAAGAAAAAGAUAAAAUCUUUUUAAUACAAAUAACUCCAGCCUCCAGAUGUAAUUUGAAUGGGCCCUGGGUGACUUGUUCUAUUUCUUCAGCUUCAGUAAGCAAGGAAAUCCAAUCAUCCAGUCUGUAAGACACUCCAUUGUAUGGGAAGUACGUGAACAAUGUAAAGAGGAACAUAACUUUCCAAGAGGAAAUAAUUGGUCCUGGAACUAAGCCUCUGAUGUAAGAAGAUUCAUAGCCAAAAAAGGAAAGAAAAGGAGGGAAGAAAACUUUAAAGUUCAAAGUUUAUCUGUUCCAACUUCCUUGUGUUACAGAUGGGGAAACUAAGGCCCAAUGUCCUGUCUAUAGUCCCAUAGCUAGUUAAUAAGAGAGCAAGGACUAGAGAUGAGCUCUCUUGGCGACUCAUCCAAUUGGCCCUCCACAGCCUCCACCCAUAGUCACCUCCAAUGUGCAGCCAUGCAGAAGCUCUCAUACAAUUGUUCAAGGAGAAAUGACUGAAAUUGGUGACCCCAGGGUCAGUCCAACCUCCAGCUUCCUGGCGUUUCAUGAAUGGCCAUCCCAGAAAUGAAAUAUGGGCCCUAUUGUUGGCUGGAGAAAAUAACUCAGGAGGCCAUGACGGAAGUCAUUAGCCGUGGCUCUCUGUGAAAAGAGAAAAUGCUCUAUGUGGCUGCUUGUUUGGACAAUGAAACAUGGUCAUUUCAGUCUUUUGUUUCAGCCUUUGUUUUUCAUAUUUGGCCCUUGUAUUUUCCCUCUGCUAAAUGAAUGGCUGAACCCCAAAGUGAAUGAGCCAGUGUUCCCCCAUCUUGAGAAACUCCACAGAUUGUCUUCCCAGUUUGCCCCUCACAGCCAGCCUUCCCCCUGCCUCUAGACAUGAUCUAAUUAUUUCAUAGUGAAUUAGAUUCCUGCCAGUGAUGGGCUGGCCAGUCUGUCAUCUGGAAUGUACAGAAAAACAUUAGAUUUGGAGUCAGGGCCUUGGGAUUGAAACCUGGUUCUUCAAGGGUUAACUCGGGCAAAUCAUUGAGCCCCUUUGGCCCAGCACCAACUAGUUAAGACCUGACAGGAAGGCAAGCAAGCCUACCUGAAUCAAUAAGGCACCAAUGGGGGAGAUACAGGUGGUAGUUUGUGUCAGGCAGCUUAAACCAUCAGCACCUGCCUUCUGACCACAGUCAAGACAGUUGAGGACUCUGAGCCCAAGAAAUUAGGAAAUAGUAGCAUCCUCCCUCCCAUACACCAGCUCAGAUUCCACUCAGUCUCCCCAUAACCAUACCCAGGGAGCAACUCUUGAGGAGACUUGACAAGGCAAGUGCCUCUUCAGGUCUUACAUAGUGGUCCCUGCCUCCUUAGCAGCCCUGACUCUGAAGACUGAAAAGAACCCAAAGACAUUAUCAAUAGUUCAACAUCAGGAUAGGAGGUGGUUUUUAUCAAUGGAGAUAAACAACAGAUUCAUUACUACUGACCUUGCUGCCGCACCCCAAGGACCACUGGGCCUUUCUAUGUGCCUCUCCAAUG
Long non-coding RNA from Phascolarctos cinereus (koala), 2976 nucleotides. RefSeq lists it as uncharacterized. The record is from RefSeq and is a predicted model, not a curated record. NCBI's taxonomy places the organism in Eukaryota, Metazoa, Chordata, Mammalia, Diprotodontia, Phascolarctidae.